Molecule: long non-coding RNA, 289 nt
Organism: Mauremys reevesii (Reeves's turtle)
Lineage: Eukaryota; Metazoa; Chordata; Testudines; Geoemydidae
Exons: 2
Source: RefSeq, a predicted model, not a curated record
CCUAGGCCUGAUGAAUGGAGCCUAAAGGGGAUUGCUGGAAUUUAGUUAGUGUGCAAAGGGGAGUUUUCACCAGGUGAUAGCCUUAGUGAGCUAAACAUCAGACUUGGAAGACCUAGGUGCCUUGGGACUACAAGCUCAAUUUCUGACAGGAUCAAUUUACUCUUUCAUCUUUCUAAGGAAGUAACUGAAAACUUUCCUUGCCCUUUGAAGCCCCAUGAAGUCUUUGUAUGAUCAAUAUUUUAGAUAGUGACUAUCACAAGUUCUUAUGGGCAACUGAAGGAGCAACCAG